This is a long non-coding RNA of Prionailurus viverrinus (fishing cat), 1520 nucleotides long. RefSeq lists it as uncharacterized. Lineage: Eukaryota; Metazoa; Chordata; Mammalia; Carnivora; Felidae. The record is from RefSeq and is a predicted model, not a curated record. The transcript has 2 exons.
ACAGCCAGCCACCCAUGGUUCUAUGUUGGACCCAGCCGGCCCCUAGUCUGUUUUAGUUUCUAAGUCAUACCCAUGCCCACCCUGUGCCUCGUCCAGUUUCUAAAUUGGGCCCAAUCUGACUCAGCCGGUGUCCGGACUCAGUCCGGAGAGAGAAAUGCUCGAGUCAAAUCUGAAACACCUCCCUUGAGAGCUGCAGAGCUAGCAUCCAACAGGGACGUACAGCCUCCAGAGGCAGCGGGAAAGCAGAAGCUCAGGGGGUUCAGCAGCUUGUCCACGGUGUGUUCUUCACUAGACCACGAGCUCCGUGAGGGUGGACACCAAGCCUGUCUCAUCCAUCCCAGGAUCUGCCAUGUCGGUCCCCUUGCCAGGUGGACACCAGACUCAAGAAAUAGCUGUUCAGUGAAUGCAUGUCUCAAAGCUUUUAAGUUUUAAGGAUAAUUCUCCGAGCCAACUGCGUGAUGAUACUGGAAACAUAAGAACUGAACGGGGUCUUCCUGCUCUGUGUCUCCCAAAUCCAGCUGGGAAGCAGGAGGUUUGAAGGACAAGCAUUAUAGAUGGGGACUCUGGGUGAAGAACCUCAGCCAGGGAGCCAGGCCAGGACUGUCAUUGUGAAAUAGGAACAUGUUCAUGGGAGGUGACCCUUUGCUGGAACCCAUCAAUUCCAAUGUGGUCGAUAGCUUUGGAUUGUUAUGCAAUGUGACUAAUUCACCUGUGGAAAAAAUUUAGCUCCAACAGUAGUGCUAUUUUUUGUUUUUCAUUAAAACCCUGAUAUCCUGACUAAUCCCAACUGGACUGUGUCCAGACUGUACCAUUUCUGUAACAUUAGAAAAUAACCUGUAACCACACCAGCAAAGCCACCCCUUAAAGGACCAAUGGGAACCGGAGGAAUCUAGAGCCCCCUCACCACACGCACACACACAAAAAAUGACUAGGGAAAUAAUUUGGCCUGAAUUGUUGUUUAAUGUAAUCGAAUUAGAUCUCCAUAUCCGAAUAGGCUUGGCCUUCUGAGUGUGUGUCAUUUAGUCUCUCUAAAUCAGUCACUCACUUGAGUGCCUACUAUCUAGAACCCUAGGGGCUGGUAAUCAAAGUGAAGUAACUGUUUCUAUCCAGAGAUCUUAUUGUCCAUUUGGAGAGACAGAAUGGAAAAGAGUAAGUGAACCAAAGUGAUAGAGGAAUGACAAUAUAUAACUUUCAAAUUCCAAGCAAUGCAUCCAGCGUUCAUAGAGAGGCAUACCCUGAGGAAUCGGGAGCAACCUCAAGAGCACCAGUCCUACAUUUUCUGCACCUCUGGCAUUUACUAUUGGCUCAUGGGUUCUCAGUUUUUCACAGGACCUCGUUUCAAUGCCGUGUAGGACUGUCUUCUCCAAAUUAGCACACAUAAAUGCCAAAGAGUCAAAACUCUACUAAUUAUCCCAAACUUUGUGACUGUUUUUUGGUACUACUUUACCUAGAAACUCCAUAUUCGUGUUCUCAGAGUUCUUAACAAAUUAUUAAACACUGUUUAAAGAUGGUUUGCAUGA